Molecule: ribosomal RNA, 643 nt
Filed under: uncultured Actinomycetes bacterium
Lineage: Bacteria; Bacillati; Actinomycetota; Actinomycetes
Description: bacterial SSU rRNA
Rfam family: Bacterial small subunit ribosomal RNA
Source: RNAcentral
CGCGGCCUAUCAGCUUGUUGGUGAGGUAAUGGCUCACCAAGGCGACGACGGGUAGCCGGCCUGAGAGGGUGACCGGCCACACUGGGACUGAGACACGGCCCAGACUCCUACGGGAGGCAGCAGUGGGGAAUAUUGCACAAUGGGCGCAAGCCUGAUGCAGCGACGCCGCGUGAGGGAUGACGGCCUUCGGGUUGUAAACCUCUUUCAGUAGGGAAGAAGCGAAAGUGACGGUACCUGCAGAAGAAGCGCCGGCUAACUACGUGCCAGCAGCCGCGGUAAUACGUAGGGCGCAAGCGUUAUCCGGAAUUAUUGGGCGUAAAGAGUUCGUAGGCGGUUUGUCGCGUCUGCCGUGAAAGUCCGGGGCUCAACUCCGGAUCUGCGGUGGGUACGGGCAGACUAGAGUGAUGUAGGGGAGACUGGAAUUCCUGGUGUAGCGGUGAAAUGCGCAGAUAUCAGGAGGAACACCGAUGGCGAAGGCAGGUCUCUGGGCAUUAACUGACGCUGAGGAGCGAAAGCAUGGGGAGCGAACAGGAUUAGAUACCCUGGUAGUCCAUGCCGUAAACGUUGGGCACUAGGUGUGGGGGACAUUCCACGUUUUCCGCGCCGUAGCUAACGCAUUAAGUGCCCCGCCUGGGGAGUACGG